CUUGGAAGGGACCUAUUCCUAAUGGCAGCCCUUCACUUACUUGAAGGAAUUCUCCUCCAUUAGGCAGAAGUGGGCAAAAUUCCCUUCCACAACCAGAGAAGAAAGGAAGAGAGGAUGAACAAACAGCCAUCAGCCAUCCUGCCUCCAUUAUUUGGCAUUUGACAUACUCUGGAAAUGAACAAAAGAUGUCAGGUAUCAGCAAAGGACAAAUGUAGAAUAUAGCACAUGAACUAAGCUUUGGAAGAAACUAAGAAUUUGAAGAAACAGGGAAGAAGAAGGAGUCAUUCUGGGCAUGGGGGCAUCUCACGCAAGGGUUCAAGGAUAAGAAACGGAAUGUCUUGUGUGAGGAGCAGCAAGAAAGCCACUUUGGUUUGCCUGUAGAACAUGUGAAGGGGAGUAAUGUUUACACCAAUGACUUAUAUGAACUGAUAAAGAGGAAGGAAAGCAUAGCUGCAAGAGUAAUUUACACCAUGAC
Non-coding RNA from Phascolarctos cinereus (koala), 475 nucleotides. The record is from RefSeq and is a predicted model, not a curated record. NCBI's taxonomy places the organism in Eukaryota, Metazoa, Chordata, Mammalia, Diprotodontia, Phascolarctidae.